This 150-nucleotide small RNA is filed under the name Yersinia intermedia. RNAcentral describes it as "PepN 5' UTR thermometer". It matches the Rfam family "PepN 5' UTR thermometer". From Rfam's summary of the family: Position upstream of pepN gene responsible for amino acid processing. The record is from RNAcentral. Lineage: Bacteria; Pseudomonadati; Pseudomonadota; Gammaproteobacteria; Enterobacterales; Yersiniaceae.
CUAUCUGAGUCUGGGGCUAACUGGCUGGUAACAUUGUCCUGAUAGCAGUCAUUCCAGCCCUUAACGACUAUUAAUACAGACCUGAUAAUCAUAUUCACUGAUGACGUCAAAAGGGUUCCUAUGACACAACAGCCGCAAGCUAAAUACCGU